Triticum aestivum (bread wheat) is the source of this 124-nucleotide non-coding RNA. The record is from Rfam. Lineage: Eukaryota; Viridiplantae; Streptophyta; Magnoliopsida; Poales; Poaceae.
GUUGUACUCCCUCUGGCCAGAAAUACUUGUCCUAGAAAUGGAUAAAAUGGAUGUAUCUAUAACUAAAAUAAGUCUAGAUACAACCAUUCCUAAGACAAGUAUUUCCGGACAGAGGGAGUAGUUA